GGGCGGAGCCGGGCAGCGCUGCGCAUGCGCACUGGCUUUACGCGCGCAGUGCGGUGCUCGGCGGGCGCCGUUCCGCGGGGCCGGCCCGGCCGUGCGGGGCCGCCGCGGUGCCCCGGAGCGGCUUGGAAGCGCCAGGCGCGGGUCCCGGCCGCGGCAGCGGCGGGCGAGGGUUGUGCUGACAAUGGAGGAGGGCGGCUGUUGCUGUGGCUGCAGCGAGGUUGAAGGAGCACUCGUGAGAAGUUUCCCAUUUGGAAUUGGGCUCCUGAAGAAAGGAACCUGAAACUGCUGUUUCUGAUAAAUCCCCCAGGGAAAAGCUGGAGAAAAGGUGGAGAGAGUGGCAAGCGGGAAUCCCAUGUUUAGAUCUGCCCUUGGAUUCCAGUUCCUCCUGGGGGGUCUGUGCUGCCCAAAGAACAAAGGAAGGAGAUGUUGGAGUACCUGUUUGUUCCCCUGUUGAGCUUGGAAGAGAUGCUGAGGGUGAAAUUCCAGGGAAGCUGCGCUUGCAGAGCGACUGGAGUGUGAAGCAGUGGCAGCUGUUUGCCGUGGACCGGUUUCCCUCCUUCACUUCGGUUCCCUGGUAUAACAGCUGGGGAUGGGGUCAGCGGCUCUGACCCAGGAAGAGGUGACCGGUCCGGGGAGAUGGUCCCGAAAGGAAUCGCCUUCCCGAGGGCCGGUGUCUUCCCUCAGCCGGUGGCAGGAGGGCCCUUGCAGAGACUGUCAGCUCUUUAGUGAUGAUCAGCUCGUGAUUCCAGCUCAGCUCUGCAGGGCAGCCUCCAGGCCAAGCCAGACCAGAGAGAGAGACGAUGGCUGGUUCCGCACAGAGGUCCCCGAGGCGGCUUCGGAUCUCCGCGGUCACCGACGCUGCCGAUUUUCCCGGCGCGCGCCGUUCGACGUCGAGGAGCGGCAUCCAGAAGCUGUGUCGGAGCAUCUUCCUGGCUGGAAUGUUUUGACAAAGACCAUCCAGAACUGCCACCUCACCCUCACGGACAGCAGGAAUGUCUUCCAUAGCUCGUUUCGGAAAGGGAAUGGCUGUUGGGAGCUCUGGCAGGACCAGAGCCCAGCUGCGGGGUCCUCACCGGGGGGAGGAAGCUCAUCCACAGCAGAAGGGGUGACAUGGCCCAGCACAGGGGCCCCCAGACCCUGCAGCAGAGCACCAGAGAUGAUGCAACAGACCCUCAGUGUUGCAAGGGACAGUGUCAAGCCGGCCCCUGCAAGAGAGGCACGUGGGCGUUCCCGCCUGGCCCAAAGUGUGCAUUAACCCACGGAGUUCUGCACCCUUCGGCUGUGGCAGCAUGUGGCGGCGUGGCCACGGCGCCCACGGGGGACCCUCACCGCCGGCAGAGCGGAUGGAGGGGAGCAACGAGACGUCGUUGGCACCCUCAGAUGGGUGAUGGGCUUCCAUCCAACCCCUCUCCCUGUUCCCCCACGCACCCUUCUGUUUUCUAUUUCUUUCUCUCUCUUCCCUUCUCUUUGCCUCUCUACUAUUAAAUAAAAUACAUCCAUUUUUUUGGCAACAACAUCUAGCCUCGUUUGGUUUUAAUCUCGUUUCUGGGGAUAUUUUGAACCUUCUAAGUUCUUUCUGGUUUAUGCACAGAGACUGAGCUUGCUUUGCUUUUCUGGGUUUAAACCGGAUCGUAACAGGGCGGGUGUGGAGGAGUUUUUCUCCCUCUCCUGUUCAUUAGUGUUACCACUGCUCUUGUUGCUCUCACUAUGUGUUGUCAUUAAUCUCAAAUGAUUGUAUUUGGUUUCCAUUCUUAAACUGUUCUGAGCUGGAAUUUUGUCUCUUCCCC
This 1787-nucleotide long non-coding RNA is filed under the name Corvus moneduloides (New Caledonian crow). Its description in RNAcentral is "lncRNA (ENSCMUG00000016933.1)". The record is from RNAcentral. Lineage: Eukaryota; Metazoa; Chordata; Aves; Passeriformes; Corvidae.